AGUGAUUUGCCAGCAGCCGCGGUAAUACGGAGGAUCCAAGCGUUAUCCGGAAUCAUUGGGUUUAAAGGGUCCGUAGGCGGUUUAAUAAGUCAGUGGUGAAAGCCCAUCGCUCAACGGUGGAACGGCCAUUGAUACUGUUAAACUUGAAUUAUUAGGAAGUAACUAGAAUAUGUAGUGUAGCUGGUGAAAUGCUUAGAGAUUACAUGGAAUACCAAUUGCGAAGGCAGGUUACUACUAAUGGAUUGACCGCUGAUGGACGAAAGCGUGGGUAGCGAACAGGAUUAGAUACCCUGGUAGUCC
RNAcentral lists this ribosomal RNA (300 nucleotides) under uncultured bacterium. RNAcentral describes it as "bacterial SSU rRNA". It matches the Rfam family "Bacterial small subunit ribosomal RNA", at positions 496 to 796 of the family's 1533-position model. The record is from RNAcentral.